RNAcentral lists this long non-coding RNA (1548 nucleotides) under Mus musculus (house mouse). RNAcentral describes it as "long non-coding RNA chr6:39118407-39119955". Lineage: Eukaryota; Metazoa; Chordata; Mammalia; Rodentia; Muridae. The record is from RNAcentral.
GAGGCGUCGCGCGGCCGGAGAUGCGGGGCGCGGGUCCUCACGGGGCCGGACUCCCGCGUCUGAGGGAGUCGUGGCCGCUCCCUUCGAGGCAGCAGCGUCCUGUGAGGCGAGUGGCGCGUUCAGCUAGGCCCGAGGGACGCCGCGGGGGGUUCAGUCAGCAACCUCGAUCUCGGAAAAGCCGAGCGAAGUUUCCAGACGGCGCCGGCCGGUUGCGGCCGGUUGGUGCGUCGGCCGGCGCGCUCAGGGGGGCUCAGAAGUCGCCCGAGCCAAAGCGGGCUUUAGCAGGCGGGCCUCGGAAGCGGGGACGACGGACCCGGUCCCACCGCACCCCGGAACAAACGGAAACAGUCGCUCCGAAUUGCCAGACACUCCGCUUUUGUAGCGGAUCCCGCAUUUCCAGAAGGAAAGCGUAGGUACGUCCUUUAAAGGGGGCCGAUCCUCCCUCCCUCGCCCCUUCUGAGUAAAGGUGAUGCACCUAGUUCGAUUCCUCACCGGAAAGAACUCUCCUGUGUGUUACCCUGGGAGUUAAACGUUCUCGGGGUAAGUAAACGGGGGUGUGUGGGGGUAUACCUAUUAAAAUACGACUUUUGGCACCCCCAUUCCUUCCUCCAGGAGUCUCCCGGGAAUAAAAGCGUUAGUAAGUCAUGUUCACAGGAGAGGACGGAGUACUGGAAACAGUAAGACGGUGAUUCAGACAACAAGAGUUUAACAAGCAUGUUAAUUCUCUGGGUUUGACCUAGAAGGACAUUAGUAUGUUGUGAGAAAAGAUUGUAAUCAAGUAGUAUUCCAUGGGGCUGAUCGGAGGUUAAGCGGCCGCACUGCUCUGGAAGAGGACCUCGGCCGGGUUCCCAGCACCCACAUAGCAGCUCACAACUGCCUGUAACCCUGGUUCCAGGAGGGAUCUGACACCCUCUUCUGGACGCUUCAGACACCAGGCACGACAGGUGUGAAGGCGCCUUUAAUCCCGGCACUUGGGAGGCAGAGGCAGGCAAUCUCUGAGUUCUAGUCCAGUCUGGAUUUGAAAGUGUACACAGUAGGAUGUUUUUGAGUGAGCAUGAAGCAAACCCAACACUUUGGUCACAGUGGAGUGUGGGAGGUACUAGGAAAGUGGAAAAAGGAAAGGUGAAGGCUGAAAAUUGGGAGGUGAGUGCUUAGAAAAUUAAUUUAAAAUGAAUAAAAUUUUAUUCUAAGUAUAAAAUACUACAGAAAAGAGCAACUGAGGGUAUAGCCCCUGGGCUCAAUCCUUAGGAAGGUGUGUGCUGGGGGGGGGGGGGAGUAUUACUACAAAAAUGUAAUAAAAUGGGAUUAGAGUAGACCAAUUGGCAAACCCUGGAACCCAGUGAGAGAUUCUGUCUCAAAAUAAGGCGGGAACUGGAGAGAUGGCUUAGCAGAGAAAAGUACCUGCUGUCCAAAGCCUGCCAGCCUGAGGUGGAUCCCCAAAACCCAGGUAAAAGGGGAUGGAGAGAGAAACACCCCACACCCCCAAAAUUGUCCUCUGACCUUCACAUGUGUGCUGUGGCACACACAUACAUAUACAUAAAUAAACUU